RNAcentral lists this ribosomal RNA (468 nucleotides) under uncultured bacterium. RNAcentral's name for it is "partial 16S ribosomal RNA". It matches the Rfam family "Bacterial small subunit ribosomal RNA", at positions 28 to 507 of the family's 1533-position model. The record is from RNAcentral.
GACGAACGCUGGCGGCGUGCUUAACACAUGCAAGUCGAACGGAAAGGCCCUGCUUUUGUGGGGUGCUCGAGUGGCGAACGGGUGAGUAACACGUGAGUAACCUGCCCUUGACUUUGGGAUAACUUCAGGAAACUGGGGCUAAUACCGGAUAGGAGCUCCUGCUGCAUGGUGGGGGUUGGAAAGUUUCGGCGGUUGGGGAUGGACUCGCGGCUUAUCAGCUUGUUGGUGGGGUAGUGGCUUACCAAGGCUUUGACGGGUAGCCGGCCUGAGAGGGUGACCGGCGACAUUGGGCCUGCGAUACGGCCCAGACUCCUACGGGAGGCAGCAGUGGGGAAUAUUGCACAAUGGGCGGAAGCCUGAUGCAGCAACGCCGCGUGCGGGAUGACGGCCUUCGGGUUGUAAACCGCUUUCGCCUGUGACGAAGCGUGAGUGACGGUAAUGGGUAAAGAAGCACCGGCUAACUACGUG